RNAcentral lists this long non-coding RNA (1114 nucleotides) under Eucalyptus grandis. RNAcentral describes it as "long non-coding RNA (EGRA_LNC000214)". The record is from RNAcentral. Lineage: Eukaryota; Viridiplantae; Streptophyta; Magnoliopsida; Myrtales; Myrtaceae.
AAAAAGGAAAAGUGAAGAGAAGCUUUUCCUUCUGCAGAGAGAGAGAGGGCAGGGAAUGUAGAGAGAAAGGGGAGAAAAGUCAAAAGGUGAAGUGAAAAAGAAGAGAGCAGAGGGAGAAGACGUGAGAGUGACAGAGAGAGAGAGAAAAGCUAAAAAAAAAAAGAGAAAAAAAAGAGCUACUGUUCAUCUUCUCCAGAGCUUCCCCUCCUCCGCAUCUGCUCGACCGGUCAUCCGAACCUCCGCCGCUGCAUGUCCCCAUAAGCGCUGCCGCCCCAGCGUCCAGCGACCGCACCUCCGCCGGAGCACGACGCCAUCACCUCCACGUCCACCGGCGACCCCUUCUGCUCAAAAGCUGCAAAGCCGACGCCUGCAGCUACCGCCUCGCUGACCCUCUGCACUCUCCUUCCACCGCUACCGACGUCGGCAGCCGCGCUUCCAUCUCCUGCGAGCAACGACUUCCCUCCACCAGUAGCCCGCGCUGCUCCGUCUCCGCUCGGUGCCCGACGCCCCUGCAGCACCUCCGUCCGCGACCACUCGGUGCCUGACGCCUGACGACCGCGACUCUGCAACCCGCAGCCCAGCCGAUUCCGAGCCGGUCCGUUCUGCUCCCGCUGUUGCUGCGCCUCUGACCACCAGAGUACCGGAUCCCGUGACGCUCGCGCCUCCGAUCUCCUUCGCCGACGCUCCCCGCAGCAGUUCAACCCUGCUCGUCGCUGCUGCCGAGCCGUUCCACCAUCCCGACGAAGCCGCCAUCGUGCUGAUUCGUGACGAUCCCGACGCUGUCCCCUGGUCCGUUCGUCGUCAGUUCGCCUUCUACCAACUGGUGACGCCACCCACGACCUGCUGCUGCCGCCGGACCGCUCGCCGCCGAUUCACCCAUUGCCGAUCCUCGCCGGAGAUCCGAUGACCGUGACCGGUGCCCAACGGUGAGCAGCCACCGCCACGCCCAAGUCUCUUGGGAAGAAAAAGAAGAAAGGAAAAAACAAAAGAAAAAAAAAUUAGGUAGUUUUAUUUUCUUUUUUUUAUUUACUUUAUUUUGUUUAUUUUUUUUAGUUUAAUUACUUGAAUUGCAAUAUUUUGUAUGUCAAUAAUUUGUAGACCUUGUAGACAUUAG